ACAGCAGUCGCCGCGGUAAUACGAGGGGGGCAAGCGUUGUUCGGAAUUGUUGGGCGUAAAGGGUGCGUAGGCGGUUCAGCAAGUCUCGUGUGAAAUCUUCGGACUCAACCCGAAGUCUGCACGGGAAACUACUGGGCUUGAGUAAUGGAGAGGUGAGUGGAAUUUCCGGUGUAGCGGUGAAAUGCGUAGAUAUCGGAAGGAACACCUGUGGCGAAAGCGGCUCACUGGACAUUUACUGACGCUGAUGCACGAAAGCUAGGGGAGCAAACAGGAUUAGAGACCCCAGUAGUCCCUGUCUCUUAUAC
RNAcentral lists this ribosomal RNA (305 nucleotides) under uncultured bacterium. RNAcentral's name for it is "partial 16S ribosomal RNA". It matches the Rfam family "Bacterial small subunit ribosomal RNA", at positions 508 to 807 of the family's 1533-position model. The record is from RNAcentral.